RNAcentral lists this long non-coding RNA (4358 nucleotides) under Cricetulus griseus (Chinese hamster). Its description in RNAcentral is "lncRNA (ENSCGRG00000025457.1)". Lineage: Eukaryota; Metazoa; Chordata; Mammalia; Rodentia; Cricetidae. The record is from RNAcentral.
GGAUUGCGUUUCUACGUGAUGGCGUAUUUCCCUUUCCUCUCCGCCGGGGCGUGUUUUGGUUGGACAGUCUUGUUGCGGGGAGGGAGGGGGGAAGAUUGUUUGCUCCCUAGACGCUCCCCGCACAGCAAGCUCCCCAGAGGCUUGUCUCUUAGCCUCUGCUCGGACUUAGCCUUCUCUCCAUCUGCCACCACAGCCUGGAGGUGCUUGCCUCCACCCUCCCGAAUGGUGCUCCUCUUCGCAGGCCUCGGCCCAGGAUCCAGGCCCCCUUUGCUCCUUGGUUUGGAGCUGUUGCUGCUGGGGUCUCUUGGUGGACUCCCAGUGGUGGGGUGCGAAGAACUUUUGCACACACGAGGCUUUAGUUACAGGGACCUAACCAACACUUUGAAUCUCAGCCUCUAACUGAGGGUGAGGCUCUUCCUGUGCCCCUUAUUUUCUCCCUUUGAGAAGAGGAAACCCUUCUGUUUGACAUCCAAAGCCCAGGAAGCCUCAAGCUGGGGCCCUGGUCCCAGCAUGUCAGCCCUCUCUUGUGCAUAGGGCUCUGCCCUCUUCCAGCCGGCAUGGCUGAUUUCAAAAAGUCUCCAGGGGGCCGAGAGACUCCACAGGGGGAACUGCGGCCAGAGGUGGUAGAGGAUGAAGUCCCUAGGAGCCCUGCCGCAGAGGAGCCUGGAGGAGGUGGAAGCAACAGCGGCGAGACCAAAUUGUCCCCUAGAGAGGAGGAAGAACUGGACCCUAGGAUACAGGUGAGAACACUGAGUGGAAGGAGUGGGAGGGAAGCCCAGAUUCCAGACUUGCUGAAGAGCUGACAGAGGAAUGAGGCCUUAGACUUACUCUCUCACAGUGGGCUGGGAUGGGGAAGGAAAACAAGUAUGUCCACAAAACAUUGAGGUUUGUCGUGUUAAGUGCCAAAAGAAGUGCUGACGGGAGAGCCGGAGUGCUUGGGGUAUGCUGGAUGAUGAUACACUUUAGGGCCUAGAACCAUCGCUUGUUCUGAAUAAGCAGAGGGACUGGUAGCCCAGAUAUCUUGCAUGUACUCGAGGUGACUGAGAUUGGGAGGCAGUUUUGAGACUAAGUAAGGGGAUCUUUCCACUUUUUCUGCCUUCUCAGCAAUGUCUCUCAGAAUCUAGUUGUGAGACCUUUCAGGUAUUAGAAAGGCACUGUAAACCUUGGACCUGUAAGAAAAUUCCUGUCUGUCUCUAUUUUCUUUCUUUCUUUCUUUCUUUCUUUCUUUCUUUCUUUCUUUCUUUCUUACAGGAUUAGCUGUGUAGCCUGUCUGGGAACUUGAUUUUUAGACCAGGGUCACCUAGAACUCAAGAGAUCUGCCUGCCUCUGCCUCCCAAGGGCUGAGAUUACAAGUGUUCACCAUCAUGCCCAGCAAGAAAUCUCUUAUAUUGCAAGGAUUUUGAUCAAUUGGGAUCAGUCAUUAAUACACAUUCCUAGUUCUUAGAAUUAUGGAUUUACCAAAAGAAUGGCAGAAUAAUUUAUUGUCAUGGAAUGUGCCAAGUUCUGCCAUUGUUUUGGUAAGACAGGGAGAUGGUUGUAUAAAAGACAACAGGGAAAUAGGUAUGAGGAAGACUGGUCAUUGUGAAGGAGAUGGAUGGCUAGGUUAUCUGUAGUGUUUCAGGAGGACUCUAUGGUGAAGUUUCUUGGGCAGAUAAUGGCCCGAAUGUGCCUGUGUGUUUGGGGCCCAAGAAUGCCACUUGGGUAGAUUGUAUCUCUGAGGUUCUGUUAUUUGGGGCCAUGAUUUAGCUCCUAGGUAGCCUGAGCAUCCUAGAGUUUGAAUUCUUGGGCAUCUCUGUCAACAAACCUUACUGGAUAAUGACAACAAAUUGCAAAGAAAGUCAAGCUGGUCCUCGGUGUGUGUGUGUGUGUGUGUGUGUGUGUGUGCAGUAAGGCUCCUCUUGGGCUGUAUGUGUGAUUGUAAUGGAGCAUUAGUGAGCUAUUUUCUGGCAUGAGUCAGUAUUUUAUUUCUGCUGUACUUCAUGGUGCUGAAUUGAAAACAACUCAGCUUCUCUUGCUCAUUCUAAAGAUUUGUUCUCACUGAAAAAAUACAUUAAAAAAAAGUCUUGGAAUAGACAUUCAAGCAACUUCAGCCUCGUGAUUUGUGAUUUUUGAGAAAGUUAACUUUUUUGAGCUUCAAUUUGUCUGUAAAGUGCGGGAUUUGAUUUGUCUGAUUUGCGCAGCUCCCAUUCACUGUGCACAGAAGUCUAGAAUUCUUUCCUUUUGCCAGUGCUUUUGCUUGUUUCUUUGGUAGACUUUAUAGAUUGUUAAGAAGGAGCUCUCUCUGUUCCUUGAGGAGAAGGGCAUAUAACACUUCAUAUACCUUCCUGAAAGACCCCUUGUUCUGCUCUGGAAAAGCCUUCUCUCCUGGCUUUCUCCAUCAGCCUCUUGUUCUGUGUACUUUCCCAGUAAUCAUGAAGGCAAAGACAGCAGAAUGAAGAGGCACACUCAUGUAAGCUGCACUGCCCAAAAUGUAACCACCAGAGUCUCUAUGUAAAUAUAAUCAGAUAAAAUAAAAACCACAGUUCUGUACUGUAGUGAUGGUGCUGAUGGGACAUUUCUGCCAUCACAGUUCUGUCAGGUGGGCUCUGGGAGUGUUGGAAUACCUGAGGAUGCAUAAGGUCUGCUUUGCCUCCAGUGAGCUUGCAGUGUGAAUAGUACUAGAAGGGCAAACGAGACCCUUGUUUCUCUUGCUAAGCUGUAUAGCACUUAGUGGAGGGUUGUAGGCUGCCCAGGGAGGGAAGGUCUUACACUCUGUCUCAUUUAAUGACACAGGCACAGACAGGUCAGUUCUUCAGCCUCACCAGGGAUUUAGAGUUUGCCGUAUGGAAAAAGCAGCUGAUGGUGGAGGCCACAACAUUUUGUAUUCUUCUGGGUGCUGAGGAGGUGAGGUUGUAUGCCAUUGAAGUUUGUUUUAGUGUUGAUAUGACAUGUCUUGAAAAUGUGCUUUAGCCCUUUCAGGGAGUGUCUAUUUAAUGUGUCUCCAUUAACAGAUCCAUCAAAAUCCACUAGGGAGUUUUAAAAAACAUUUUCAUUUACUCUGCUGAAUAGGAUAAGAUGUGAAAUUAAGGCACAGCCAGGGCCGAGUCCACUAGGCAAAGGGUAGCUCAGAAGCAGGGCUCUGACCUAUUUUGGAAUGUUUUGAAUUUCUCGGAAAUGCUUAUCCUCAGGGUGAGGCUUCCUAAUGUAGGGCUGGGUUUCUGUGGCUGACAGGCAGGUAGUUCAUGUGUGUCGUCUGGUGGGAUGUCUCUGGAAGUAGACUAGCCCGUACCUGCCUCUAGUAUGUGUUUGCCCUUUCAGAAAAGGCUGUGUCUCCAUCAAGGUUUCAUUGGAUCAUUGGAGUUCCUCAAGUCCUCCAGCUUUUGGAAAGAGGGUCUUAGUGGAUGGAAGUAGGGUUUGCUGGUCAAAGGAGUUAGCAGUGCUAGGAUAGGCCUGGCCCCCUCUCCAGUUUUCUCUGUCUCCUUGUUUUUUUUUGUUUUGUUUUUUGUUGUUGUUUGUGUUUUGUUUUGGUGAAAUAGUGUUUGAUGUAGUCCAGGAUGGUCUUGAAUUCACUAUAUAGCUCAUGCUGACUUUGAACUCCUGAUCCUUUUGUCUCUGCAUCCCAAGUGCUGGAAUUAUAGGUAUGUGCCGCCAUGUUUGGUUCUCCUUCCUUUUUGAUGGAUACAUUUUUUUUUUUUUUUAAAGCUAUGUUGGACACACUCGCUUUACUCCCCAUUCUUCAGGGUGACUUUGCAAUCUUAGUGUUCUCAUCUUCAGGUGUUGGUUUAACUCUCGAAGUACAGUCAGCAUCAUCCCGGCCCUAUUACUCAUCAUCUGCUUGGGCCUUUGGUGGUUUGUGGAAGAGGACCAUGAGCAUCCAAGGGUGGAGCAGAAACAUUUGUAGUCAAGCACCCAUGCUUUGACUCAGUGGCUUGGCAUUCUGGAAAUGCACUCAGAGUGCCCCAAGAAGGUCAUCCUCCUGCUAGCUGCUGGCUUUCUGAUGGAUGAUGCAUGCUGACUCAGACCCUGUCCUCCCCGAAUUCCAUUUUCGCUGAGUGCCAGGAGUUCCUGGUGGAACAGGCCAAAUGGAAUGUGUUGCUGACUGCCCACAAACAGCAAUUUGGGUGCUCAGUGCUUUGCCCACUGUGCUUUGCCCUGAUGCUUCAGCUUGGCUGUUCCUCCCUGCUUGCCAUAUCCAUCCAUCUGUGGGGGGGCUUCUCUUUGUUCUGUUUGAGCUUUGUGAGCACUAGUUAGACUUAUCAGUAGGCCCUUUCUCUUUCUUUCUUUCUUUCCUUCCUUCCUUCCUUCCUUCUUUCCUUCCUUUCUUCCUUCUCUCUGUCUGUCUCUCCCUCCCUCCCUCCCUCCCUCCUUCCCUCCCUCCC